RNAcentral lists this ribosomal RNA (253 nucleotides) under uncultured bacterium. Its description in RNAcentral is "partial 16S ribosomal RNA". It matches the Rfam family "Bacterial small subunit ribosomal RNA", at positions 524 to 776 of the family's 1533-position model. The record is from RNAcentral.
UACGUAGGGGGCAAGCGUUGUCCGGAAUCAUUGGGCGUAAAGAGCGCGUAGGCGGUCCGGUAAGUCCGCUCUGAAAGUCCGGGGCUCAACCCCGGGAGGCGGGCGGAUACUGUCGGGCUAGAGUCCGGAAGAGGCGAGUGGAAUUCCUGGUGUAGCGGUGAAAUGCGUAGAUAUCAGGAGGAAUACCGGUGGUGCAGACGGCUCUCUGGACCGCAACUGACGCUGAGACACGAAAGCGUGGGUAGCAAACAGG